This 93-nucleotide ribosomal RNA is filed under the name Listeria monocytogenes. The record is from RNAcentral. Lineage: Bacteria; Bacillati; Bacillota; Bacilli; Caryophanales; Listeriaceae.
CGAUGCCGUUCCCAUCCCGAACACGGUAGUUAAGCUUCUCUGCGCCAAUGGUAGUUGGGGGCUUCCCCCUGCGAGAGUAGGUCGCUGCCGGGC